This 420-nucleotide ribosomal RNA is filed under the name uncultured bacterium. RNAcentral's name for it is "bacterial SSU rRNA". It matches the Rfam family "Bacterial small subunit ribosomal RNA", at positions 355 to 774 of the family's 1533-position model. The record is from RNAcentral.
UAAGGAAUAUUGCUCAAUGGGAGAAAUCCUGAAGCAGCAACGCCGCGUGGAGGAUGAAGGGUCUAUGACUUGUAAACUCCUGUAAAGAAGGAAAAAAUUCCCAUUUGAUGGGAGAUGAUGGUACUUCUGGAGUAAGCCCCGGCUAACUACGUGCCAGCAGCCGCGGUAAUACGUAGGGGGCAAGCGUUGUCCGGAUUUACUGGGUGUAAAGGGUGCUCAGGCGGAUUUGCAAGUCAGAGGUGAAAUCUUACAGCUUAACUGUGAAACUGCCUUUGAUACUGCAAGCCUAGAGUAUGGAAGAGAGUGAUGGAAUAUCUGGUGUAGCAGUGAAAUGCGUAGAUAUCAGAUAGAACACCAAUGGCGAAGGCAGUCACUUGGUCCAUUACUGACGCUAAAGCACGAAAGCGUGGGUAGCAAACA